UUUGGUGCUCGUGAUGACUUGAGACUUUUUUCCCCAUCUGAGCGGAAAUGUUGAAUUCUUUGUUAUUAGCCAGAACUCGUCUGACUGCACCAAU
Molecule: small nucleolar RNA, 94 nt
Filed under: Pseudonaja textilis
Lineage: Eukaryota; Metazoa; Chordata; Lepidosauria; Squamata; Elapidae
Description: Small nucleolar SNORD12/SNORD106 (ENSPTXG00000002322.1)
Rfam family: Small nucleolar SNORD12/SNORD106
About the family: This family belong to the C/D class of snoRNA which contain the C (UGAUGA) and D (CUGA) box motifs. This family includes the human ortholog of mouse snoRNA HBII-99 and human snoRNA U106. In humans both HB11-99 and U106 snoRNAs share the same host gene.
Source: Rfam by way of RNAcentral